GGCUUUUAACUCUGAGUCUUGUUUUAAGAACACACUGUCAGCUGAGAUUAAGACAAGAUUUCUACUUGAACACAAAGGUGAGAAAGAAUUCCAGUCAUGCUUCCAGGGAACCAGCUGUGCUGUUUAGCUGCUCUAGACAGAGGGAGGCUGUGCUCCAAACAAUUAUGAGUCAACAGGUACAACUGCUGGAAUUCUCAUUACUGAAAAUUAAUAUUUGAGGAUUCUCUCAGAAGACUUUACAUUUUGAAAGACAACAAAUAAAAUGAUUCUUUAUCUUCUUUAUGCCAAC
Molecule: long non-coding RNA, 289 nt
Filed under: Fukomys damarensis (Damara mole-rat)
Lineage: Eukaryota; Metazoa; Chordata; Mammalia; Rodentia; Bathyergidae
Description: lncRNA (ENSFDAG00000025820.1)
Source: RNAcentral